Molecule: ribosomal RNA, 423 nt
Filed under: uncultured bacterium
Lineage: Bacteria
Description: partial 16S ribosomal RNA
Rfam family: Bacterial small subunit ribosomal RNA
Source: RNAcentral
GAAUAUUGGACAAUGGGCGCAAGCCUGAUCCAGCCAUACCGCGUGGGUGAAGAAGGCCUUCGGGUUGUAAAGCCCUUUUGUUGGGAAAGAAACGCCGUCGGCUCAUAACCGGUUGUUCUGACGCUACCCAAAGAAUAAGCACCGGCUAACUUCGUCCCAUCCGCCGCGGUAAUACGAAGGGUGCAAGCGCUACUCGGAAUUACCGGGCGUAAAGCGUGCGUAGGUGGUUGUUUAAGUCUGUUGUGAAAGCCCUGGGCUCAACCUGGGAAUUGCAGUGGAUACUGGGCGACUAGAGUGUGGUAGAGGGUAGUGGAAUUCCCGGUGUAGCAGUGAAAUGCGUAGAGAUCGGGAGGAACAUCCAUGGCGAAGGCAGCUACCUGGACCAACACUGACACUGAGGCACGAAAGCGUGGGGAGCAAACA